GGGUUGUGAGGUUAAGCGACUAAGCGUACACGGUGGAUGCCCUGGCAGUCAGAGGCGAUGAAGGACGUGCUAAUCUGCGAAAAGCGUCGGUAAGGUGAUAUGAACCGUUAUAACCGGCGAUGUCCGAAUGGGGAAACCCAGUGUGAUUCGUCACACUAUCGUUAACUGAAUACAUAGGUUAACGAGGCGAACC
This 193-nucleotide ribosomal RNA is filed under the name Acinetobacter baumannii. RNAcentral's name for it is "partial 23S ribosomal RNA". It matches the Rfam family "Bacterial large subunit ribosomal RNA", at positions 1 to 185 of the family's 2925-position model. The record is from RNAcentral. Lineage: Bacteria; Pseudomonadati; Pseudomonadota; Gammaproteobacteria; Moraxellales; Moraxellaceae.